RNA transcript from Cuculus canorus (common cuckoo), 6740 nucleotides. It is a transcript of the gene named casein kinase 1 delta, with no coding region annotated. The transcript is spliced from 10 exons. The record is from RefSeq and is a predicted model, not a curated record. NCBI's taxonomy places the organism in Eukaryota, Metazoa, Chordata, Aves, Cuculiformes, Cuculidae.
CGCGCGCAACCGCCCCCGUUGCCAGGGAAGUGAGGUCACGCGCUAUGGCUGCCGUGAGCCCGAGCGGUUGAGGGGACGGCCCAGCGGCGCAAUCCGCCUCCAUCCUCGCCGGGAACUGCGACCGGGGGUCUGCCUGCCUCGCUAGUACCGAGCGGCGGGGCUGGGGCCGCGAUGGCAGCAGGGAGCGCGGGGCUUUGAGGCGACGGGGCGGGCGGAGACGACGGGCGAACCGAGGCGCCGCCAUGGAGCUGAGGGUCGGGAACCGGUACCGGCUGGGCCGGAAGAUCGGGAGCGGCUCCUUCGGGGACAUUUACCUGGGAACUGAUAUUGCUGCUGGAGAGGAGGUCGCAAUUAAAUUGGAAUGUGUGAAAACCAAGCAUCCUCAGUUGCACAUCGAGAGCAAAAUCUACAAAAUGAUGCAGGGUGGAGUGGGUAUUCCCACAAUUAAGUGGUGUGGAGCUGAAGGAGACUACAAUGUAAUGGUGAUGGAGCUGUUGGGACCGAGUCUUGAAGAUCUCUUCAACUUUUGUUCAAGGAAAUUCAGUCUCAAGACGGUCCUGUUACUCGCUGAUCAAAUGAUUAGUCGAAUUGAAUAUAUUCACUCUAAGAACUUCAUCCACCGAGACGUGAAGCCGGAUAACUUCUUAAUGGGCCUGGGGAAGAAAGGCAAUCUUGUCUAUAUAAUAGACUUUGGAUUAGCAAAGAAGUAUCGAGAUGCUCGAACUCACCAACAUAUUCCAUAUCGUGAAAAUAAAAACUUGACAGGAACUGCCCGUUAUGCAUCUAUCAACACUCAUCUUGGAAUUGAGCAAUCUCGCAGAGAUGACUUGGAGUCCUUGGGCUAUGUACUGAUGUAUUUUAACCUGGGCUCCCUCCCCUGGCAGGGACUGAAAGCAGCAACAAAGAGGCAGAAAUACGAACGUAUCAGUGAAAAGAAAAUGUCUACACCCAUUGAGGUUUUGUGUAAAGGAUAUCCUUCUGAAUUUGCUACAUAUUUGAAUUUCUGCCGUUCUUUGCGUUUUGAUGACAAACCGGACUAUUCCUAUCUAAGGCAAUUAUUCAGAAACCUCUUCCACCGACAAGGGUUCUCCUAUGACUACGUGUUUGACUGGAACAUGCUGAAAUUUGGUGCAAGCAGAGCAGCUGAAGAUGCUGAACGUGAAAGGCGAGAACGAGAGGAAAGACUGAGACAUACACGAAAUCCAGCUGUGCGUGGAUUGCCCUCCACUGCUUCUGGCAGGCUGAGAGGAACACAAGAUGUAGCUCCUUCUACUCCUCUUACCCCAACUUCACAUGCUGCCAACACCUCUCCUCGGCCAGUAUCUGGUAUGGAACGAGAAAGGAAAGUGAGUAUGAGAUUGCAUCGUGGUGCCCCAGUCAAUAUCUCGUCAUCUGACUUAACAGGCCGACAAGAUACCUCUCGCAUGUCAACUUCACAGGGUAUUCACACAGACUUGUCCUAAGUAGAGCGUGGCCUGGCUUUGUGCAGCUUGCCUUCAGGCUACAGAAUGGGGAAUCGCCUGUACUGUGGGCAUACUGCAGCGUUACUGGGAGAGCAGUCUGUUACGAGGACUGGUACAGUCGCCUGGGGGUUUUCCAUCGUGCCUCAACGCUGUGCUGGAGUUCUAACUGCAUAAUUUUUGCCAUGGACUAAUUUUAUUCCUCAUUGAUGGAGUAUAUUGAUAAAAGUUAACUCAAUCGCUUUUGGUUUUGUAAUUUAAUUGGCAGAAUUAAUUAUUUUGGAUAGUACGUGUUCUUACAUUAUAAAAUAUUACUACUAGAGGGAAUGCUGUUUUAGAUGGAGUCUGGGUGGGUAUCUCUAACAAAGACUGAGUGUGAACUGGAUUGGCGAAACAAUUCUGCUGUAACAAAAGUGAAGUGGGAUUUUUUGGGGUUGGUUUUCAGCUGAAUGCUUUCACCAUGUAGCUGCACAAAUGUUUGUGCUUGCACAGUGGAUGAACAGUUCAGGAGCAGAAAUGACCGGAUGAGAAUAGGAGACGGAUGAGGCUUUCUGUGCUGGCACUGAUAGCAUUUUUUGCCAGCUAAAAAAUUGUUCACUGAACUACAAUUAUUGCCACCAGAAAUUGUCCUAUUAAAAUACUUGUGUGGCUGAAAUUUGGCAACAGUGUGAAAACAAAGAUAUUAGCACUGCCUAGUUUGGGUCUAGUAAAUAUGCACGGACACCGGGUAGAGGGAUAUAAAGAAGGUGCAGCCAGACUCUUCUCAGCGAUACCAGUGAAUGAACAACAGGCAGCGGGCACAAAUUGACAUACAUGCAAGAGAAAACAAUUUUACAAUGAGAGUUAGCAAGGACUGAAACAGGUUGCCCUUAAGAGGCUUUGGAGUCUCCCAAAAGGGAGACUUGGAACCUAGUUGGGCAUUGCUGUGAGCAGCCUGCUGUAGCUGACUGUGCUUUGGGUAGUGGCUUUGGACUAAAUAAUCUUCAGGGGUCCCUUCUGACAUCAGCUGUGACUCUGAACAUUCACUCAAAUGUAAAGGUGGUUUCCUGGUACAGUGUGUUUGCCCAGGGCUUGUCCUUGGCAUUCUGCGUAAAUCUCAAGUGCUUUGUCUCUGUUACCGGUCAGAUAAAUAAUUAAUGAGAGUAACAGAAAUAGAUGCAGUGAUAUUACUCGACUAUGUUAGGAGAGAGGAUAUGUUUCAUUUUUUCUGUAUUACUGACAUGUACCUCAGUGUGCAUGUGACACCUUUCUAAACAUCGUAAGGUAUGAGUAAUCCAGGUGGCUUUUUGCACAUGCUUUUUGGUUCUGCCUAACUUGUAAAAUGGGAAUACUCUGAGGUUGUGUAGAUCUAUGGGGUUUUUUUGGGUAGUCUUUGUGUAACUUGUGAUGUGGGCCAACAGUCUGGCUUAAUAGCACAUUUCCUACUUACACCUCUUAACACUUUACUCCCAGUAUGGGAUCCCUCAGUUGACUUCUUUAUAAUCCCAGUAGCGGCCUAGUCAGGAUCUUCUCUGAGGUUGUUGAAAUCAUUCAUCGUGUCUUCAUUUAGUUUUUACAAAGGCAGUGAAUCCCUACUGGUCUCCACUCACGGUGACUGAAUAGCAGUGUGUGACUGCAGUAUAAUUUAAACAGCCUCCCAUGGGCUCCUUGGAUUUGGAAGGCAAGGGGGAUAUACUUAGAUUUUACUUUGUAACAUUUCUCCUUGAGCUCAUUAGAGAAAACUCUUUUCAUUUUCUUAGUUCUUGCUUACUCAAUAUCAGGCAAGGCUCAAGUUGCAAGCAUUCAUAGCUUACGCUCUUAGCAUCUUCAUAGUGUUAAAGGUGUUCUACCAUAAUCAAAAUGUAUCCCUAGGUGUUAAUGAGCUUAUCAGUUAAAGCCAUUAUCUUUAUACCUUGUUCUCAGUCAGCAAAAACUAAAGUAUCUGACUCGAACAACAAGGUUAUUAAGGAGAAUUUUGAUGGGCUGGGUAUAAGAAUAUGGAAAAUGAUCCAUACCACUUCUUAUCAGGAGAAUGGUAAAGAAAAGCAACUGUUUGUCCAUGUCCAAGUGUGUGAGUUUCCUUUGUAAUAAGUCUUCAGUAAUUUGUGGUCCCAGUGUUUCUUUUUCAGGAAGCAUUUAGACCAUGGUUCUGGUGGAAAGCAACUUUUAACAUUUGCUGUGCAGAUCUGCACAUCUUAUGUUAAGAACUACAUUUGUUAGAGCUGUUUAUGAUUUGAUAAAUUAUUUUAUUUUUAAUUACUCAGAUGCCUUGGUUUGGUAAAGCAGCAUUGCAUUUGUGAUCUCCACCUGUCAUCAUCUAGAGGAGGGGCUGCUGCUCAUUAAGCUCUGGGCAAUGCAGAUGAGCAGAGCUUACUCAAAGAAAUAAUGAAAGCUACUUACCUCUAAGUAGAGUUCUUAAAGACAACUCCACAUUUUUAUCUUUUUUCAAAAAUGAGUUCUAAUCGGUUCAGACUGAAACUGAAAACCAAGGCUGGGAAUGUGAAUAAGAACCAAAAUUCUCUUACGGAAAACAGGCCGCCUCAGAGAAAUUUAACGCUCUCAGAAAAAUGGUAAUUGGUGAGGAUAGCAAAUAGGUGUCAUGUAUAUUCCUCACCUCCAAGGUAUUUUUCCACACAGUACCUAAAUCAUUCUCAUUAGAAAGACUGUCACUUUGUAAUACGAAGUAAUGAGUGCUUAUUAGAGUUACCAUUAGCGUGUCUGUGGAACAGUUUGUGAAACUCGUGUUUCUAAUGCAAUCAUGUAAAUUCUAUGGCAUAUGUUAUUCAGUCCUUUUUUCAGUUUUAUAGAACUGAAUACAACAGCUAAAAACCUGCAAGUUUUGAGAUGUUUGGCAGCGAUAAAUAUUAGUGAGAGUGGAAUAGCCAGGUGAAACCUGUUCAAUAGUGUGUGUUACUGCAGUGCUCUAAAACCUGGUUAGGAUGAAGUGGAGCCUAUUGCCAUAGAUGUAGGAACUGUAUCUGUGGUGAGCAGUGACUCAGGCUUUAAUAUUGAAGAGGUUAGUGUGAUGACAUAACGAAAGGGCAUAAUUUCAUCCUUGAAUCUGUGUAUGAUACAGUAAUGAGCAGAAAUGGAGUGGUUAUGUCACGUCAUUAAUGAUACAGAUACUGGAAUAUUAUGCCUAGUUUAGUUCCCGGUACCUUAAACUGUUGGAAAACUGUAAGUAACACAGAGAAGAGGCAUAAAUGAGCUUGGGAAUACAAACUGUAAAAUGCAAGAGUUUCAAAUCAGUGCCUUUCAGUUUGUCUGAAAGGUAGGAGAUCAUCUUUGGUUACCUGGUGUGGUAUUUUAGAGACGAUUUUAACAGGAACUGGUGUUUUGGAGAAAACAUCUGAAUAACCUAUUGCUUAAAAUUAAACCCACUCACAUUCUAAAGAAAAGUGAAACAGAGGCCUAAGUGAAGGCAGUUAGCCACUGAAACAGCUUCUAAAAGAAGUAGAUCAUCUGUCCCCUUGGCAUCAUAACUGGAUUAGUUUCUAGGUGGUGUAUUCAGGUCUAAAGCCAACCUAAAUUACAGGCCUCCAUGUAGUGAAGAGCUGUGAUCUGUGCUGGAUGGAAAAUCAUACUAGCUGUUAAAAAAUCCUUCUGCUCUUAAGUUCUAUGAGUGAGUUGUUCACUGAAUCUCCUUUAGGUAGUCAGUUUUUGAAUGUCAAGAAGCAUUGUGGAGGAGGUAGCACAGGUCAUGAGUAUUCCAUUAAAUGCUACUUUACAUCAGUUUGAUCAGUCCUCAUUGCACAGACUGCAUCACGAAAGCAGUGAUCGCCUCGAGUCUAGUUCUGGGUGAGUAGCUUUCACUUCCUUUUACAGAAGGUUCAAGCCGACUGUCUAUGCUAUGCACCAAGUUGUUUGAUUUUUUUUUUAUUUUUUUUUCCCCCCCGAAUGUAGCAUGUUCAGCACCCAACAGCCAAAGCUCUGGAUGAUUUCUACUGGUAACAAUUAUUCUUUCUGUAGCUGGAAGACAUGAUUGGAAUGCUGCACAAAGAAAUAUUUGAUUAAGUCUCUUUGACAGGACAAGUUUUUAGAAGACUGUAGCCACCACUGACAUUAAACAACCUAAGUGUUUUGCUGCUUCCUUGGGAAAAAAGCAAUGUACUCCCAGUGGCUCUGCAUUUCCAUCUUCUCAUGGGCAAAUCUUUCUCCGUAGGUCCAUCUUAAUAGGGAUCAUACUCUGCAUUGUUCUUCUGAUCCUGUCAGCUUUCUUUGAGGAGUAGCAUUUUGUUCCUUUUGUGUAUCUUUUAAUAUGAUAGAAAUGUCUUACAGAAGUCUGAAAUCAGAGCUCCUCAAAAGAUGCAUUUGCUGCUGCAAGUUUAGGUUGGAUUAUUGUUAGACAUCUUUAUGUAUUGGGGCGGUGGAACUGUUACAAAUUGCUGUCUUUUCCCCUACCUCAGAAUAGCAUUCCUUUCGAACACCAUGGCAAGUAGCUGCUCGUCUCCUUUCCUUGGAAGGCAGCACUGGAUUCCUGCUCGGGUAACUACCAGUGUUCUCCAGUCUGCUGUGCACCGAUGAAAAUUAUUUUGCCGUGGAGGGCAGAUAAUGCAUGGCUGAUCUCCUAUGUUACCAAUGGCUUUACUAGCAAAAAUACCCUAAACUAGAGCGGAAACAUUACAAUUGGAGUUCUCCAUGUGACUUAAAAGGCACUUGGAGGAACGUGGACAGACUCCAGCAGCUGCCAUUACAGGACGCUUUUGCCAGAAACCCAGUGACCUUAAGAGAACCCUGUGGUAACAGGGCUGGAAAAGAAAGAUGGUUUACAGAGUUGACCGCCUGUUAUCGGAUGGCCAUUUCAGUUUUCCCUCCACAGGCGGCAGACUUUACCCCCUUUUUAUUAUUCUAUUGUAACUAUAAAUCUUUUACUUGGUUUAAGAAAGUUUUUUGUAUCAUUUUGCUAAAAUUAUUGGCUUAAUUCUCUGUAAAGAACUCUUGCUUUGUCUGAUUUAAAAAAAUGUAGAAUAUAAACAAACCUAAACUAAAGACAGUGACUUGAAAUUUCUUGUUUAAAAAAAAUUAGUCGGGCAGGGAACAUGUAAAUGAAUCAAAACUAUUUGACUUUAUUUAAACUGUUUACUUAUUUGUAUGGUCCCAUUCUGACUGAGACAGUUUUCUCAUGGAAUUUUUAAAACUGUUAGAAUUUUACUUUGCUGUUUGCUGUCUUCAUUCACAUUUAACAUUUAACUUUCUGUGUAACACAAAGGAAUUUUUAAUACUCAGAUUUUUUUCAUAAAAGAGAACUAAAUACCCUGCAGGAGAGUAUAAGUAUAGUAAAGGUGGUGAUAAUGGAUGUAU